UACGUAGGGUGCGAGCGUUAAUCGGAAUUACUGGGCGUAAAGCGUGCGCAGGCGGUGAUGUAAGACAGUUGUGAAAUCCCCGGGCUUAACCUGGGAAUGGCAUUGGUGACUGCACGGCUAGAGUGUGUCAGAGGGGGGUAGAAUUCCACGUGUAGCAGUGAAAUGCGUAGAGAUGUGGAGGAAUACCGAUGGCGAAGGCAGCCCCCUGGGAUAACACUGACGCUCAUGCACGAAAGCGUGGGGAGCAAACGGG
RNAcentral lists this ribosomal RNA (253 nucleotides) under uncultured bacterium. RNAcentral describes it as "partial 16S ribosomal RNA". It matches the Rfam family "Bacterial small subunit ribosomal RNA", at positions 524 to 776 of the family's 1533-position model. The record is from RNAcentral.